RNAcentral lists this ribosomal RNA (742 nucleotides) under Leuconostoc mesenteroides. RNAcentral describes it as "bacterial SSU rRNA". It matches the Rfam family "Bacterial small subunit ribosomal RNA", at positions 20 to 744 of the family's 1533-position model. Lineage: Bacteria; Bacillati; Bacillota; Bacilli; Lactobacillales; Lactobacillaceae. The record is from RNAcentral.
UGGCUCAGGAUGAACGCUGGCGGCGUGCCUAAUACAUGCAAGUCGAACGCACAGCGAAAGGUGCUUGCACCUUUCAAGUGAGUGGCGAACGGGUGAGUAACACGUGGACAACCUGCCUCAAGGCUGGGGAUAACAUUUGGAAACAGAUGCUAAUACCGAAUAAAACUUAGUGUCGCAUGACAAAAAGUUAAAAGGCGCUUCGGCGUCACCUAGAGAUGGAUCCGCGGUGCAUUAGUUAGUUGGUGGGGUAAAGGCCUACCAAGACAAUGAUGCAUAGCCGAGUUGAGAGACUGAUCGGCCACAUUGGGACUGAGACACGGCCCAAACUCCUACGGGAGGCUGCAGUAGGGAAUCUUCCACAAUGGGCGAAAGCCUGAUGGAGCAACGCCGCGUGUGUGAUGAAGGCUUUCGGGUCGUAAAGCACUGUUGUAUGGGAAGAACAGCUAGAAUAGGAAAUGAUUUUAGUUUGACGGUACCAUACCAGAAAGGGACGGCUAAAUACGUGCCAGCAGCCGCGGUAAUACGUAUGUCCCGAGCGUUAUCCGGAUUUAUUGGGCGUAAAGCGAGCGCAGACGGUUUAUUAAGUCUGAUGUGAAAGCCCGGAGCUCAACUCCGGAAUGGCAUUGGAAACUGGUUAACUUGAGUGCAGUAGAGGUAAGUGGAACUCCAUGUGUAGCGGUGGAAUGCGUAGAUAUAUGGAAGAACACCAGUGGCGAAGGCGGCUUACUGGACUGCAACUGAC